AGGGCUUAGCUAACUUGUGAACAGAGUUGUAAUGGUCUCCUUGUUCACAGUGGCUAAGUUCCGC
Molecule: microRNA precursor, 64 nt
Filed under: Scyliorhinus torazame (cloudy catshark)
Lineage: Eukaryota; Metazoa; Chordata; Chondrichthyes; Carcharhiniformes; Scyliorhinidae
Description: Sto-Mir-27-P3b_pre stem-loop
Rfam family: mir-27 microRNA precursor family
Source: RNAcentral